Sarcophilus harrisii (Tasmanian devil) is the source of this 609-nucleotide long non-coding RNA. RefSeq lists it as uncharacterized. The transcript has 3 exons. The record is from RefSeq and is a predicted model, not a curated record. NCBI's taxonomy places the organism in Eukaryota, Metazoa, Chordata, Mammalia, Dasyuromorphia, Dasyuridae.
UAACUGGGGAUGAAUUGAUCAAUUGUUGUGAAUCAGAAUACUGCCUUUUUUGCCUUUUAUCUUUUUCAGAGAGGGCAGUCUGGGGAUAGAAGAACUGAGAGUUGACUGAGGUUCUGAUGGUGGAUUGGAAGAGAGUUCUUGACCUACAAGUUCCUAGUCCUAGCCUUGGAGAGGUAGUGGAAUAACUCUUCAGCCUAAGAAAUAACAGCUUAAUGGUCAACUCCCUGCUGAAAGAUAAAUUGAAGAGAACAGCUUGAGAUUAUGUAGGUUAAGGGCAAGAUUGAAUUGAGAAUAAGUGCUAAAAGAAAAAAAUCUACACACAGACACAUAGAGAAAAGGACUGGAACUGUGCUUUCACUGGGAUGGACAACUCCAGAUGAGGGAACCUCUAUUACUGCCAGUUGGGAACUUCUCAUCUUGUCCUCCUAGAGAUUGCCUAAAAGUGUUCACUUGUUCUGUGAGUGUUGAAGUGACUCUCCCAGGCUCACGCAGCCAGUAGAUUUCAGAAGUGGAACUAUAAAUCCAGGUCUUCCUGCCUUCAACAGCAGAUUUCCAUGCACCAUGGGGCCACCAUUCAACACAUAGUAGAUACUUCAUAAAUGCUUAUUG